This is a long non-coding RNA of Bubalus bubalis (water buffalo), 1196 nucleotides long. RefSeq lists it as uncharacterized. The transcript has 3 exons. NCBI's taxonomy places the organism in Eukaryota, Metazoa, Chordata, Mammalia, Artiodactyla, Bovidae. The record is from RefSeq and is a predicted model, not a curated record.
AUAGCAAAACAAAGUCCCUACUCUCAUAGAAUUUACAUUCUAGUGGGAGAGAAAGGUAAUAAAUAAGAAUAAAAAUAUAUAUCAGGCAGUGAGAGUGAGGAAAGACGAAACCUGUAAAAGAUGGAGUGCCCAGACUUGCGGUGAGAUGGGAUUGGACUAUUUUUCAGAUGACAAGGUCUAAGAAGUUGUCAUCCGAACAGAAACAGGAAGUGGAAAAGGGAGUCCUGCGAAUAUCAACCUAGCCGGGAGCUUCUGGGCCGGGGCAACAACAGGCAAGAAGGUUGUGGCUUUGGCUUCUAGCCUCAAACCAGGGAUUAGGCGCUGGCCCAAUGCUGACAGAGCCCAGAGCCCUGCUUCUACAGCCCAGGAAGCCUGAGCAGACUACAGAGGCUGUCCAUCUUAAGAGAAAGGAAACUGAGCUUGGAUGAGGUUAAAUGGCUUGCCUGAGGUCACCACAGCAUGAGGGGAAGUGGCGGUACCCACCUCCAACCCAGGAUUUCCGACGCUUCGCAGCACACUAUUGCAAAGCUGUCUCUUUAUGUUGGUUUGUUCUGAAAAACAGAAUAUUGCUCAAGAAGUCCAUUCAAUAAGAGACGUUAGAGGGUUUUUCUUUGUUGUUGUUUUUGCUAUAAAGACAGAAACUUUCUGGCUAGUCAGCAUGUCAGAAAAGACUUCCAAAGUCGAUCAGUAAGAGGACACCAAAUCAUAGACACCAGUUUUGAUAGUGAGUGCUUUGGUAAAAUAAGUCUUAACACUGGUUUUCCAGACUUCACGGCACACUGUACAGUGUGUAGAAAAAGCAGCACUGUGCACAAGGAACAUGUGCACACGUGUGUCAACGUUCUCUCCCCAAAUGCAGAAUAAAGCGCUAAGCAGACUGAAAUAAGAUAAUAUUUAUGGCUGAAGAAAUUCAACUUCACAUAACGGCAAUUAUGAACAAGAUAUUUUCCCUAAUAAAAUUACUGCAAAACAAAAUCUGGAGAAACUAAGUGUUUCCCUAUGUCUUCUUUAUUUUACUCCAUGUGCUCAAAAAUGGUUGCGGCAAAGAAAGAGUAUAGCAAGCACAGGCAGAAGAGUCCUAGCCAGACGGCCUCUGCUGAGGGUUGCUUUUGCUUUAGAAACUGGAAUGUGUCCAGGCUUGAUUUUUAUUUUCAAUUCACAUUUCAGAUCCAGCUCCCCAAACUCUUUGAUCUUUC